Molecule: ribosomal RNA, 663 nt
Filed under: Halobacillus sp. HRS25
Lineage: Bacteria; Bacillati; Bacillota; Bacilli; Caryophanales; Bacillaceae
Description: bacterial SSU rRNA
Rfam family: Bacterial small subunit ribosomal RNA
Source: RNAcentral
ACGGGUGAGUAACACGUGGGCAACCUGCCUGUAAGAUCGGAAUAACCCCGGGAAACCGGGGCUAAUGCCGGGUAAUACUUUCUUUCGCAUGAAGGAAAGUUGAAAGAUGGCUUCUUGCUAUCACUUACAGAUGGGCCCGCGGCGCAUUAGCUAGUUGGUGAGGUAACGGCUCACCAAGGCGACGAUGCGUAGCCGACCUGAGAGGGUGAUCGGCCACACUGGGACUGAGACACGGCCCAGACUCCUACGGGAGGCAGCAGUAGGGAAUCUUCCGCAAUGGACGAAAGUCUGACGGAGCAACGCCGCGUGAACGAUGAAGGUCUUCGGAUCGUAAAGUUCUGUUGUUAGGGAAGAACAAGUACCGUGCGAAUAGAGCGGUACCUUGACGGUACCUAACGAGGAAGCCCCGGCUAACUACGUGCCAGCAGCCGCGGUAAUACGUAGGGGGCAAGCGUUGUCCGGAAUUAUUGGGCGUAAAGCGCGCGCAGGCGGUUCCUUAAGUCUGAUGUGAAAGCCCACGGCUCAACCGUGGAGGGUCAUUGGAAACUGGGGAACUUGAGGACAGAAGAGGAGAGUGGAAUUCCACGUGUAGCGGUGAAAUGCGUAGAUAUGUGGAGGAACACCAGUGGCGAAGGCGACUCUCUGGUCUGUUUCUGACGCUGA